AAGUCGUAACAAGGUUUCCGUAGGUGAACCUGCGGAAGGAUCAUUAACACGUAUCCACGUAUCAACCCCUCUGUGCACACCGUCCUCGUCAGGCUGGUCUAGUAUGCCUGCUCGCAAUGGUCUUAAUGAUGGGAGUAUUUCCGGCCCCCCGCCUUUCUCUUUUCGAGGGGCAGUUGGUUGGUUACUCGGGAUCUUGAGCAGGAUGCGUUUUGUUGACGACCAGCCGCUAUUUUUCCAUCGUUAGCCUUUUUUUUUUUCCAACCCCUUUGUAC
Molecule: unclassified non-coding RNA, 272 nt
Filed under: Phylloporus sp.
Lineage: Eukaryota; Fungi; Basidiomycota; Agaricomycetes; Boletales; Boletaceae
Description: partial contains small subunit ribosomal RNA and internal transcribed spacer 1
Rfam family: Eukaryotic small subunit ribosomal RNA (bases 1-46)
Source: RNAcentral